This 253-nucleotide ribosomal RNA is filed under the name uncultured bacterium. RNAcentral's name for it is "partial 16S ribosomal RNA". It matches the Rfam family "Bacterial small subunit ribosomal RNA", at positions 524 to 776 of the family's 1533-position model. The record is from RNAcentral.
UACGAAGGGGGCGAGCGUUGUUCGGAUUUACUGGGCGUAAAGGGCGCGCAGGCGGCUCAUUUUGUCAGGCGUGAAAGCCCCGGGCUUAACCUGGGAACUGCGUUUGAUACGGAUGGGCUAGAGUUCGGGAGAGGAGAGUGGAAUUCCUGGUGUAGCGGUGAAAUGCGCAGAUAUCAGGAAGAACACCCGUGGCGAAGGCGGCUCUCUGGAACGCAACUGACGCUGAGACGCGAAAGCGUGGGGAGCAAACAGG